RNAcentral lists this ribosomal RNA (3156 nucleotides) under Triticum aestivum (bread wheat). RNAcentral's name for it is "partial small subunit ribosomal RNA". The record is from RNAcentral. Lineage: Eukaryota; Viridiplantae; Streptophyta; Magnoliopsida; Poales; Poaceae.
AUGGCGAACAUAACAAACACCUUGAGGGUAGCGAUGGCGGCCACAGCGGUGGUGAUGCUGACGUCACCGCUCCUGGCCGGAGCACUUUAUCGGGGCGAGGCGCAAGGGAUGCCCAAUUGCGACAUCAUCUGUGGCAACAUGAGCGUGCCAUACCCGUUCGGCAUGGGCCCGGCCAGGUGCUACUGGCCGGGGUUCAACCUCACCUGCGACCGUAGCAGCAACCCGCCGCGGUUGCUGCUGGGCGACGGCUCCCUCCAAGUUCAAGACCUCUCCAUUACCAUGGCGACAUGGGUGGACGCCAUAUAUAUGGGCGACAUAAAAGUCGACGGCAACGGUGAAGGCACGCUCCGCGGCGGCCUUACGACCGACGGGCCCUACACGAUUUCAUCCAACAAGCUCAUCAUUGUGAGCUGCAAUGUUCAGGCGACACUCAAGAAUGGCGAUGUGACCGUAAGCAGCUGUUCUUCUAUCUGCAUAAACGGUGAUGGACUCUCCGAGGCACGAUCCACACUCGAAGCAGGCAUGCAAUGCUCCGGCAAUGGCUGCUGCCAGUCAGACAUCGUCUUCGACCCUGCGGAGGUAGCGGGAAGGCUUGUCAACGGCACGUCCUACAGUGUGCAGCUCAAAUGGUUUGGCUGGAACCGCAGCGCCGACCAGCAGUGGCCUGCGCGCGUCUUUGUCGUGAGUCACGGCUGGUUCAGCCAUACACCGGCCUUCCUUGAGCUAUUAGGAGGAGACACACCCGCAUCAGCGGAGGCAAUGCAAGUUCCCUUAUGGCUGAACUGGGAGGUCGUUGGCCAUGGCGCACAAUGCUCCAACGUCUGCAAGAGCACGCACAGCCACUGCAAAAAGGGUAAGAGAGGCUACACAUGCUCCUGCAAAGACGGCUACGAAGGGAAUCCCUACAUCAACGGCGGAUGCAAAGAUAUCGACGAGUGCAAGGAUGAAGUGUACGGCAAGUGCUAUGGUCAUUGUAAAAAUUUGGAUGGGUCAUAUGAAUGCCGGUGUCCGCCAGGAACCCAUGGCGACCCUACCCUGCCCGGUGGCUGCCUCAGUUCCGUCUCAAGUAACUGCAGGACGACCUGCGGCGACGUAGAUGUGCCGUACCCAUUCGGCAUUGGCUCUGCCGAUUGCUACUGGCCAGGGUUCAACCUCAUCUGUGAUAUAAGCCAACAACCACCAAAGUUACUCAUCGUUCUCCAGGACCCCAGCGACCCUGACAUCGGCAAGGACUGCUCCAUCCAGGUCAGGGAGAUCUCCCUCCGAAACAACACAGUGAGCGUCCUCCGCAGCAACGCCAUCAGCCGUAUCGAACCCACCGACUCAACCAGUUUUUUAAUGUUUGGCAACUACUCGGAGGCGCCCUACUCACUAUCGACUAGCAACGAGUUCAUCCUAUCAGGCUGCAACCUUCAGGAACAAGUCCAGAUCGGAGAUGGCCCCGAGGAUUUCAUCAGCGGUUGUGCCUCCUUCUGCUCCUCCAAAGUUAGUGACACCAACGUCGAAACCGCGCUGCGUCGUACAGGCAGAAACUGCAACGGCAUGGGCUGCUGCCAGGCGCAUAUCUCCAUGUCCUCCAAUGGCUUGCCUACGGCGUGGAUGUAUCAAAAGAUCAACAAGAACGGCGACCAGGAGGCGACAUUGCAGCCCGCAUACAUGCUAAUCGCAGAGGAGGGGUGGUUUGAUCAGCGGCGGUUGUCCAAGGAUAUGGCAGGGCGGGAAGAAUCCGAAACGGACAAGGUGCAGGUUCCCCAAGUUCUGCAAUGGGAGGUCGUGCAGGGCUUGCCGCGACCAGCUGACAUGAAGGCGCACCCAGGCUGUCCAGCGGAGGUAGCCCUCGAGCUCUGCAAGAGCAAGAACAGCUACUGCAAACGAGGGAGCAUAGGCUAUUUAUGCCAGUGCAUGGAUGGCUACCACAAACCGGGCAGCAACCCCUACCUUGACGACGGAUGCAAAGGUGGCCACAAGCCUUUAUCUACAAGUAUAUACCUCGCCAUAGGAGUUGCUGUUGGGGCAGGCAUCAUACUAUUUGUUGUUGCUGGAUCUUUCACACAUAAGAAAUUCAAACAUCGAAAAGCACAGAUGUUGAAACAGAAGUUCUUCGAGAAAAAUCGUGGACAAUUGUUGAGACAAUUGGUAUCACAAAGAGCUGAUAUUGCAGAAAGAAUGAUUAUAACCUUAGAUGAGCUUGAGAAGGCAACAAACAAAUUUGAUAAGGCCCGUGAGCUUGGUGGUGGGGGGCAUGGUACAGUCUACAAAGGGAUCUUAUUAGAUCUCCAUGUUGUGGUCAUCAAGAAACCAAAGAUGGCGAUUCAAAAGGAGAUUGAUGAGUUCAUUAAUGAGGUUGCUAUUCUAUCACAGAUCAACCAUAGAAAUGUUGUAAAACUCUAUGGAUGUUGCCUUGAAACAGAGGUCCCCAUGUUGGUCUAUGAGUUUAUAUCCAACGGUACACUUUAUGAUCAUCUUCAUGUUGAUGGGCCAAAAUCGUUGUCAUGGAAUGAUAGGCUACGGAUAGCAAUUGAGACUCCCAGAUCUUUAGCCUAUCUUCACUCAACAACUUCAGUACCCAUCAGCCAUAGAGAUAUCAAGUCUGCUAACAUACUUUUGGAUGAUACUCUAACAGCAAAAGUCGCAGACUUUGGAGCUUCAAGAUAUGUUCCGGUGGAUAGAUCAGGAGUCACAACAAGAGUGCAAGGUACAAGAGGAUAUCUAGACCCAAUGUAUUUCUAUACAGGGCGUCUCACGGAAAAGAGUGAUGUGUACAGCUUCGGUGUCCUGCUUCUGGAGUUAUUGACUAGAAAGAAACCAUUUUCAUACAUCUCUUCUGAAGAGGAAGGCCUUGUCACACACUUUUCUACCUUAUUCACACAAGGCAAUUUGUCCGAGAUAAUAGAUCCCCAAGUUAUGGAAGAGGGAGGCAGAGAAAUGGAAGAAGUUGCAGCACUUGCAGUAAUGUGUAUAACAUUAAGAGGAGAGGAUCGUCCGUCGAUGAAGCAGGUGGAGAUCAAACUCGAAGGCACUCAAGCAUCCAGGGGACAUGAGAAGGGUAAUGUACGAAACUGUCCGCCUACUGUUGAUGGAAGUAGGAGCGAAGAAUUAUCCAGGCAGUAUAGUAUGGAAGAAGAGUUCAUGUUAUCGUCAAGGUAUCCUCGGUAG